RNAcentral lists this long non-coding RNA (349 nucleotides) under Rattus norvegicus (Norway rat). RNAcentral's name for it is "long non-coding RNA NONRATT004076". Lineage: Eukaryota; Metazoa; Chordata; Mammalia; Rodentia; Muridae. The record is from RNAcentral.
UGUACCUGGCCAGGACACCCACUAUGCCCAGGAACUGCUGGCAGUUUUGGGAGGCCAUGCUGUGGACCCUACCCAAGUGGGAGCUUCAGUGCAACACCUUUGUGCAGACACUCCUAUCUACUGGGCCCGGUGGGCAGAGGGGCCCCAGAGACAGCGGCUGAUCUACCUCUGCAUUGACAUCUGCUUCCCGAGCAACAUCUGCGUGUCUGUCUGCUUUUAUUACCUCCCAGACUAAGACCCCCUACCAAGUCCUCCCGACCUUUGCUCCCACAGGUCAGCCAGCUGCCAGGUCACCAGUACCUUUGGAAGGCAGCUGACGGUAGGGAUGAAUAAACCCAGAUUGCCUGGC